Long non-coding RNA from Dendrobium catenatum, 430 nucleotides. RefSeq lists it as uncharacterized. Lineage: Eukaryota; Viridiplantae; Streptophyta; Magnoliopsida; Asparagales; Orchidaceae. The record is from RefSeq and is a predicted model, not a curated record. The transcript has 2 exons.
GAUUCAUCAACGCAAAUAAGGAUAUUAGCAGAAAAGUUCCAUGGCUUGCAGGUUUUACUACUUCUUCCUGCUCUUGCUGGUGCUCCUCCUUGCAACCUACUGUCUUGCUGGUGCUCCUGCUGGUGGAGAUGCCAGCGGUAACGGACCUGGACCUGAUGGUGAUCGCAGUGGAACACCUAACUGUUUGAGAUGCCAGGAUAUUCCCAAAACUAUACAAUGCAAUUGUUAGAAAAAAUAUCUUAUUUUCGCUACAAGAAAUGCAGCUUUUCAUUUCCAAAAUAGACCACAAUGUAAUUUAUAGAAAAAAAAAAAAAGAUAACAAUUUUGGUUCAACAAAUGUAUCUUUGCGUAAGCUAUAUUCCGUUGCGUUCAAAUUAUCGACAUGUAACGGUGCGGGAAGGCAUACAUAUAAAUGAUUCCAGAAAUGUUU